GCCUUCGUGGUGUAACGGUAGCACACUCGGCGCGUAUUCGAGAGGCCUAGGUUCGAGUCCCGGAGAGGGCA
This is a non-coding RNA of Stegodyphus mimosarum, 71 nucleotides long. The record is from Rfam. NCBI's taxonomy places the organism in Eukaryota, Metazoa, Arthropoda, Arachnida, Araneae, Eresidae.